AUGGGGAGCAGGUACGGGUGUGGCAGGAUCCUUGGGUUCCAAGACUACCUCAACUUACACCGAUCGCUCUUGCUCCUAUUGUUAAUACGUCUCUUAAGGGUUGGUUAGGGAGCUAUUCUCUGUUGAAGAGGCUGAGGCGAUUUUAUGUAUCCCCUUAAGCUCUAGGGUGGUUGAAGAUAGAUGUGUGUGGAGAAUGGAGAGUAAUGGGGGUUUCUCUGUUAAGACUGCAUACAGACACUCUUUUGUGCAUUCCCCAGCUAGGGUACCUAGUACUCUAAGUGUCACUAAUGAUUUCUGGAAAAAGAUCUGGAAGGGGUUCAUACCUACUUCGGCUAAGCUACAUGCUUGGAGGGUGUGUAAUGAUGUUUUACCUUCUUUGGAGCGUCUUGCAUCUAAACAGGUGAUUCUUGAAUCCCAGGUUUGUAUCUUAUGUGGGAUUGAGC
This 443-nucleotide long non-coding RNA is filed under the name Rosa chinensis. RNAcentral's name for it is "sRNA RchiOBHm_Chr3g0486771". The record is from RNAcentral. Lineage: Eukaryota; Viridiplantae; Streptophyta; Magnoliopsida; Rosales; Rosaceae.